Molecule: microRNA precursor, 122 nt
Filed under: Hordeum vulgare
Lineage: Eukaryota; Viridiplantae; Streptophyta; Magnoliopsida; Poales; Poaceae
Description: microRNA MIR1122
Rfam family: MIR1120/MIR1122 microRNA precursor family
Source: RNAcentral
CUUGUACUCCCUCCGUCCGAAAAUACUUGUCCUAGAGAUGAAUGUAUCUAGACUUAUUUUAGUUAUAGAUACAUUCAUUAUUUAUUUUUAAGACAAGUAUUUCCGAACGGAGGGACUAUAUU